RNAcentral lists this ribosomal RNA (549 nucleotides) under Glomus sp. VeGlo8. RNAcentral's name for it is "SSU rRNA". It matches the Rfam family "Eukaryotic small subunit ribosomal RNA", at positions 548 to 1098 of the family's 1831-position model. The record is from RNAcentral. Lineage: Eukaryota; Fungi; Glomeromycota; Glomeromycetes; Glomerales; Glomeraceae.
UUGGAGGGCAAGUCUGGUGCCAGCAGCCGCGGUAAUUCCAGCUCCAAUAGCGUAUAUUAAAGUUGUUGCAGUUAAAAAGCUCGUAGUUGAAUUUCGGGGUUAGUAGGUUGGUCAUGCCUCUGGUAUGUACUGGUCUCACUGAUUCCUCCUUCCUGAUGAACCGUAAUGCCAUUAAUUUGGUGUUGCGGGGAAUUUGGACUGUUACUUUGAAAAAAUUAGAGUGUUUAAAGUAAGCUAACGCUUGAAUACAUUAGCAUGGAAUAAUGAAAUAGGACGUUCGAUCCUAUUUUGUUGGUUUCUAGGAUUGACGUAAUGAUUAAUAGGGAUAGUUGGGGGCAUUAGUAUUCAAUUGUCAGAGGUGAAAUUCUUGGAUUUAUUGAAGACUAACUACUGCGAAAGCAUUUGCCAAGGAUGUUUUCAUUAAUCAAGAACGAAAGUUAGGGGAUCGAAGACGAUCAGAUACCGUCGUAGUCUUAACCAUAAACUAUGCCGACUAGGGAUCGGAUGAUGUUAAUUUUUUAAUGACUCAUUCGGCGCCUUACGGGAAAC